This 250-nucleotide ribosomal RNA is filed under the name uncultured bacterium. Its description in RNAcentral is "partial 16S ribosomal RNA". It matches the Rfam family "Bacterial small subunit ribosomal RNA", at positions 57 to 305 of the family's 1533-position model. The record is from RNAcentral.
GCAAGUCGAACGGCAGCGCGAGGAGCUUGCUCCUUGGCGGCGAGUGGCGGACGGGUGAGUAACGCGUAGGAAUCUACCUUAUAGUGGGGGAUAACUCGAGGAAACUCGAGGUAAUACCGCAUAAUCUCUACGGAGCAAAGCGGGGGAUCUUCGGACCUCGUGCUAUUAGAUGAGCCUGCGUCGGAUUAGCUUGUUGGUGGGGUAAAGGCCUACCAAGGCAACGAUCCGUAGCUGGUCUGAGAGGACGAUC